Molecule: ribosomal RNA, 497 nt
Filed under: uncultured bacterium
Lineage: Bacteria
Description: partial 16S ribosomal RNA
Rfam family: Bacterial small subunit ribosomal RNA
Source: RNAcentral
GAUGAACGCUGGCGGCGUGCCUAAUACAUGCAAGUCGAGCGAACGGACGAGAAGCUUGCUUCUCUGAUGUUAGCGGCGGACGGGUGAGUAACACGUGGAUAACCUACCUAUAAGACUGGGAUAACUUCGGGAAACCGGAGCUAAUACCGGAUAAUAUUUUGAACCGCAUGGUUCAAAAGUGAAAGACGGUCUUGCUGUCACUUAUAGAUGGAUCCGCGCUGCAUUAGCUAGUUGGUAAGGUAACGGCUUACCAAGGCAACGAUGCAUAGCCGACCUGAGAGGGUGAUCGGACACACUGGAACUGAGACACGGUCCAGACUCCUACGGGAGGCAGCAGUGGGGAAUCUUCCGCAAUGGGCGAAAGCCUGACGGAGCAACGCCGCGUGAGUGAUGAAGGUCUUCGGAUCGUAAAACUCUGUUAUUAGGGAAGAACAUAUGUGUAAGUAACUGUGCACAUCUUGACGGUACCUAAUCAGAAAGCCACGGCUAACUACGUG